AAAUUGAAGAGUUUGAUCAUGGCUCAGAUUGAACGCUGGCGGCAGGCCUAACACAUGCAAGUCGAACGGUAACAGGAAGCAGCUUGCUGCUUCGCUGACGAGUGGCGGACGGGUGAGUAAUGUCUGGGAAACUGCCUGAUGGAGGGGGAUAACUACUGGAAACGGUGGCUAAUACCGCAUAACGUCGCAAGACCAAAGAGGGGGACCUUCGGGCCUCUUGCCAUCAGAUGUGCCCAGAUGGGAUUAGCUUGUUGGUGAGGUAACGGCUCACCAAGGCGACGAUCCCUAGCUGGUCUGAGAGGAUGACCAGCCACACUGGAACUGAGACACGGUCCAGACUCCUACGGGAGGCAGCAGUGGGGAAUAUUGCACAAUGGGCGCAAGCCUGAUGCAGCCAUGCCGCGUGUAUGAAGAAGGCCUUCGGGUUGUAAAGUACUUUCAGCGGGGAGGAAGGUGUUGUGGUUAAUAACCGCAGCAAUUGACGUUACCCGCAGAAGAAGCACCGGCUAACUCCGUGCCAGCAGCCGCGGUAAUACGGAGGGUGCAAGCGUUAAUCGGAAUUACUGGGCGUAAAGCGCACGCAGGCGGUCUGUCAAGUCGGAUGUGAAAUCCCCGGGCUCAACCUGGGAACUGCAUUCGAAACUGGCAGGCUUGAGUCUUGUAGAGGGGGGUAGAAUUCCAGGUGUAGCGGUGAAAUGCGUAGAGAUCUGGAGGAAUACCGGUGGCGAAGGCGGCCCCCUGGACAAAGACUGACGCUCAGGUGCGAAAGCGUGGGGAGCAAACAGGAUUAGAUACCCUGGUAGUCCACGCCGUAAACGAUGUCUACUUGGAGGUUGUGCCCUUGAGGCGUGGCUUCCGGAGCUAACGCGUUAAGUAGACCGCCUGGGGAGUACGGCCGCAAGGUUAAAACUCAAAUGAAUUGACGGGGGCCCGCACAAGCGGUGGAGCAUGUGGUUUAAUUCGAUGCAACGCGAAGAACCUUACCUGGUCUUGACAUCCACGGAAGUUUUCAGAGAUGAGAAUGUGCCUUCGGGAACCGUGAGACAGGUGCU
Molecule: ribosomal RNA, 1052 nt
Filed under: Salmonella enterica
Lineage: Bacteria; Pseudomonadati; Pseudomonadota; Gammaproteobacteria; Enterobacterales; Enterobacteriaceae
Also listed under: 2 other names
Description: bacterial SSU rRNA
Rfam family: Bacterial small subunit ribosomal RNA
Source: RNAcentral